GGCACUCGAGCGUUUAACAUUCACACUGCUAUAUAUAACAAGAUGCAAAAGCAGCCGAUUGUUUCACUCAUCAAUGCUCGGUCUAAAUCACUGUACUUAGAAACGUGAAAGGUGAAAUUUGAACAGUAUGCUAUUUUUAUGACAUAGACACGAGGAUUGAAAAGAUUUUUGUAAAUAUAAACGCUAAAUAGGUGAAACAGGUGAACAAAUUUUUGUUUAGGGGAUAUCCAUAUCCUACGUGUUGCUAAACUUGAAAACGUGAAAUCCGGCAAACAAACUCCUUAUUAAAAAUAAAUAAACACGCGUCUGAGUAUUUUUUGAAAUUCAACUCCUAAAUGGUGUUGAAACAGAGGAUGGUAAACAAUAAAUUGUCAUAAAAACAAAUACUGUGCGGAUGGGAUAGCUGAUUUAACGAUAAGUGUAAAAGUAUACGACAAAUGAUUUGUAUGUAAUUUCUACGCGUUGGUGUAGAAUGUAGCAGAAAUUCGAUUGCGCGAGUAUGCGAACUAUAGCGGUGGCUACGUUGAAGCAGGAGAACAGGCGCGCUUGCUACGAGAAAUAGCAAAUAGCAGCGAGAUAUAAAGUAAAUUGCUACAAGAAAUAAAAAUAGCAGAAAUAAGACAGAGUGGCGUUGUUUCGAAGAAGAAACAUGAGACGAAGGAAGCAUGGUAAGGAAGCGCGUAGUAGAACGUAGUAGCAUCACGUUACCAAAGCCCGGCACAUCUGAUAGAUCAACCACUUAUGUAUGCUUAUCGAUCGACUCUACAAUUCUAUGGCGACGUAUAAUGGUGCACCUGCGUGUACACAGGUGUGUGUAUGUGUGGGUAUGCGUAUACAGGUGUUUCAGCUAUACAAAGGCGAUUUACAAGCGAUUAUAAUGUUGCUCUUAACACGUUCAUGACAACAGAAUUUCGACAUAUCAUUGCUUUAUGAACAAACUCACAGCUGGUUUCCGUUUGUUUCAUGACAUUCUAUGUAUUUAAUAAUAACGAUUCUAACUAUAUUAUAACUAUUGUGUGAAAACGCAUGUUUUCCUUUUUUUAAAUUAAACGGUAGCAUUUUUAGCGUAUUCUCUCUAUUACAGGAAUGAGAACGGUUUAACGAAUAUAAGUUGUACAAUAUUUUAUUUUCGCGCUACAAAGGAACUUUUUGCAAUGAAUUUCUCAGAAAUUUCUAGCCAGACUGCUGCAAAGUGUUUCUUUAGCAGACUACAAAUUGAAGCGCGUUUACAGAGAAAUACCGUUAUUCGGAUAUCGAUUGGAUUGUAUGUGUAAACGCAAAUUUUAUUCGCGUUAAUUUCACCGAAUUAAUUGUUACAAGUCUCACAAUUUAUGUAAGUAAUACGCAGUAGAAAGAGCUUUGUCUUUGGAGGACGAGAACAAAAUGAAUUAUAAGACAGAAGGAAAAAUAAAUAUUCUGAAUUGAACUGAACAGAAAAUACACCUCGAUAUAAUAACUGGGAGGAAAAUAUAUCUAUAGGACUGACGGUAAUUUACCGAAGUACUCACACCAUACAUCUUUUGGAACAAACAUAAGAACCAAUUCAAUUAUUAAACUUGAAUCUGUAACUGUGUUCAGAACUGAUCCAAUUAGUCAGAUUUAUUUGGUUAUCUGCAAGCAGUAAAUAACGCGAACUUAUUCUAUAAUCAAUUCCAAAUAUUCUGAUAAUUUCUGUAGUGAAAUAGUGUAAUGCGCGACUAUCUUGAAACUACAUACUACAAGUUUUCUCUGCGCUGCAGUAUAUUUAAAAUGAUAGUAUGAAACAUCGUAAUGGUACGACAGUUAAAAUUGAACGUUUCAAUGAAUAAUAAAAGUGAUGUUACUGGGAAUGUAAAUGCUUAAAACGUAACAGUCACACAACUUCGUAAUAAAUGUUCCAUAAUGCAUACAGCAGUCGAGAAAGUAAACUAAUUUAUCGAACGUGCGACAGUAGUUACAUAAUGUAGUACGAUCUAUAAUUUUCCGAAGAUUUAUUGUUCAAAUUAAAUGGACUGAGCCCGCCGGUGAUUAAUGGUAACGAUUACACCAGCAAUUAUUCAAUUUUUAAUUUAUUUUAAUACGUUGGACAGGAGUGUAAUUGUUAUUGAUGUAUACGUGGAAAUGAAUGGAAUACGUUGCGAAGUUUUAUUCGACAUACAUGUAUAGUACAUUUUAGAGGAAAAGAAUAUGAUAAUAACAAUGCGAUUUGCGUGAUAUACACACAGAUGUAUACUGAUUUAAAUAUUAAUUUAAUUGUAAAUUUGAGAGUUCUAUUGAUACAAAUAUUUGGAAAAAUUUUUAUACAAAUAUUUAUAUCGUAUUUAAAUAAUAUCGUAUAUAAAAAUUAGUAAAUCAUUAAAUGGAGUAAACAUCUUUAUUACCAUUUAUUAUUCAAUUUUAACUGUUAUCUCAAUAGCUGCCGUAGUAUAAAAAUAACAGGAAAUGUUAGA
Bombus pyrosoma is the source of this 2429-nucleotide RNA transcript. RefSeq lists it as uncharacterized. Lineage: Eukaryota; Metazoa; Arthropoda; Insecta; Hymenoptera; Apidae. The record is from RefSeq and is a predicted model, not a curated record. The transcript has 4 exons.